UAGCAUAUCAAUAAGCGGAGGAAAAGAAACCAACAGGGAUUGCCCCAGUAACGGCGAGUGAAGCGGCAACAGCUCAAAUUUGAAAUCUGGUCCCCAGGGCCCGAGUUGUAAUUUGCAGAGGAUGCUUUUGGUGAGGUGCCUUCCGAGUUCCCUGGAACGGGACGCCAUAGAGGGUGAGAGCCCCGUCUGGUUGGAUACCGAGCCUCUGUAAAGCUCCUUCGACGAGUCGAGUAGUUUGGGAAUGCUGCUCUAAAUGGGAGGUAUAUGUCUUCUAAAGCUAAAUAUUGGCCAGAGACCGAUAGCGCACAAGUAGAGUGAUCGAAAGAUGAAAAGCACUUUGAAAAGAGGGUUAAAUAGUACGUGAAAUUGUUGAAAGGGAAGCACUUAUGACCAGACUUGGCCCCGGUGAAUCAUCCAGCGGUUCCCGCUGGUGCACUUUGCCGGGGUUCAGGCCAGCAUCAGUUCGCUCCGGGGGAUAAAGGCUUUGGGAAUGUGGCUCCCUCGGGAGUGUUAUAGCCCAUUGCGUAAUACCCUGUGGCGGGCUGAGGUUCGCGCUUUAUGCAAGGAUGCUGGCAUAAUGGUCAUCAGUGACCCGUCUUGAAACACGGACCAAGGAGUCGUCUUCGUAUGCGAGUGUUCGGGUGUUAAACCCCUACGCGUAAUGAAAGUGAACGCAGGUGAGAGCCCUCCAGGGCGCAUCAUCGACCGAUCCUGAUGUUCUCGGAUGGAUUUGAGUAAGAGCAUACGGGGCCGGACCCGAAAGAAGGUGAACUAUGCCUGUAUAGGGUGAAGCCAGAGGAAACUCUGGUGGAGGCUCGCAGCGGUUCUGACGUGCAAAUCGAUCGUCAAAUAUGGGCAUGGGGGCGAAAGACUAAUCGAACCUUCUAGUAGCUGGUUUCCGCC
This 903-nucleotide ribosomal RNA is filed under the name Metarhizium sp. RNAcentral describes it as "partial large subunit ribosomal RNA". It matches the Rfam family "Eukaryotic large subunit ribosomal RNA", at positions 36 to 962 of the family's 3401-position model. The record is from RNAcentral. Lineage: Eukaryota; Fungi; Ascomycota; Sordariomycetes; Hypocreales; Clavicipitaceae.